Molecule: ribosomal RNA, 465 nt
Filed under: uncultured bacterium
Lineage: Bacteria
Description: bacterial SSU rRNA
Rfam family: Bacterial small subunit ribosomal RNA
Source: RNAcentral
GCCAGACUCCUACGGGAGGCAGCAGUGAGGAAUAUUGGUCAAUGGCCGAGAGGCUGAACCAGCCAAGUCGCGUGAGGGAUGACGGCCCUACGGGUUGUAAACCUCUUUUGUCGGGGAGCAAAGAGAGUCACGUGUGGCUCAUUGAGAGUACCCGAAGAAAAAGCAUCGGCUAACUCCGUGCCAGCAGCCGCGGUAAUACGGAGGAUGCGAGCGUUAUCCGGAUUUAUUGGGUUUAAAGGGUGCGUAGGCGGAAUGCCAAGUCAGCGGUAAAAUCGCGGGGCUCAACCUCGCUCCGCCGUUGAAACUGGCGUUCUUGAGUGGGCGAGAAGUAUGCGGAAUGCGUGGUGUAGCGGUGAAAUGCAUAGAUAUCACGCAGAACUCCGAUUGCGAAGGCAGCAUACCGGCGCCCAACUGACGCUGAAGCACGAAAGCGUGGGUAUCGAACAGGAUUAGAUACCCCCGUAU